UAUUAAAAGGCUGCUUUUAUAACGAAAUCCGCGUACCCAAGAAUGACGAGUAGCCAACGUGCGUGUAACACUGGGAUAACGCCCGCAACCCGGGGGGAAUACCGGAUAGUACAGUCCUUCACACGGCGGAAUGCGGAAUGUCACCUUAGAGUGUCCCGAACAGCGGGUCCCCCGGCGCAUUAGAUAGUUGCCGGGGUCACUACCCAGCAAGGCAACGAUGCGUAGCCCACCUGAGAGGGUGAUCGGCCACAUUGGAGGGGAGACACGGCCCAAACUCCUACGGGAGGCAGCAGUAGGGAAUCUUCCGCAAUGGUGGAAAGUCUGACGGAGCAACGCCGCGUGAGUGAAGAAGGCCUUCGGGUCGUAAAACUCUGUUGCCGGGGAAGAACAAGUGCCGUUCGAACAGGGCGGCACCUUGACGGUCCCGGCCAGAAAGCCACGGCUAACUAC
This 450-nucleotide ribosomal RNA is filed under the name uncultured bacterium. RNAcentral's name for it is "bacterial SSU rRNA". It matches the Rfam family "Bacterial small subunit ribosomal RNA", at positions 70 to 504 of the family's 1533-position model. The record is from RNAcentral.